Molecule: ribosomal RNA, 472 nt
Filed under: uncultured bacterium
Lineage: Bacteria
Description: bacterial SSU rRNA
Rfam family: Bacterial small subunit ribosomal RNA
Source: RNAcentral
GAUGAACGCUGGCGGCGUGCUUAACACAUGCAAGUCGAACGGACUUUACAUGAAGCCUAGCGAUUGUAAAGUUAGUGGCGGACGGGUGAGUAACGCGUGAAUAACCUGCCUUAUACUGGGGGACAACAGUUGGAAACGACUGCUAAUACCGCAUAAGCGCACAGGACCGCAUGGUCUGGUGUGAAAAAACUCCGGUGGUAUACGAUGGACCCGCGUCUGAUUAGCUAGUUGGUGAGGUAAUGGCCCACCAAGGCGACGAUCAGUAGCCGGACUGAGAGGUUGACCGGCCACAUUGGGACUGAGACACGGCCCAGACUCCUACGGGAGGCAGCAGUGGGGAAUAUUGGGCAAUGGGCGCAAGCCUGACCCAGCAACGCCGCGUGAAGGAAGAAGGCUUUCGGGUUGUAAACUUCUUUUAUAAGGGACGAAACAAAUGACGGUACCUUAUGAAUAAGCCACGGCUAACUACGUG